Molecule: ribosomal RNA, 450 nt
Filed under: uncultured bacterium
Lineage: Bacteria
Description: partial 16S ribosomal RNA
Rfam family: Bacterial small subunit ribosomal RNA
Source: RNAcentral
CCUACGGGCGGCUGCAGUAAGGAAUAUUGGUCAAUGGAGGAAACUCUGAACCAGCCAUCCCGCGUGAAGGAUGAAGGGGCUCUGCCUUGUAAACUUCUUUUGUCUGGGGCGAAAAAGCUCGAUUUAUCGAGAACUGACGGUACCAGAAGAAUAAGCACCGGCUAACUCCGUGCCAGCAGCCGCGGUAAUACGGAGGGUUCAGGCGUUAUCGGGAAUCACUGGGUCUUAGGCGUCUGUAGGCGGAUUAGGAGAAAGGCUGUGGCUUAACCAUGGAAUUGCCAUUGAUACUGCAGAGCUUGAAUGAGGUUGAGGUUGGCGGAAUGUGACAUGUAGCGGUGAAAUGCUUAGAUAUGUCAUGGAACACCGAUUGCGAAGGCAGCUGACUGGACCUAUAUUGACGCUGAGGCACGAAAGCGUGGGGAGCGAACAGGAUUAGAUACCCCGGUAGUC